Long non-coding RNA from Falco peregrinus (peregrine falcon), 1152 nucleotides. RefSeq lists it as uncharacterized. NCBI's taxonomy places the organism in Eukaryota, Metazoa, Chordata, Aves, Falconiformes, Falconidae. The record is from RefSeq and is a predicted model, not a curated record. The transcript has 3 exons.
UGUGCACGGGAGUCCGGACGAAGACGCAGGACGCCAGAACAUCGUAACAAGCUUUGGGAACAUGGACUGAUUGUACAACGACCACCGUUGGACUUAAAAAUUCAUAAUCUUAAACCUGGGGACUGGGUAUUGGUUAAAACGUGGAAAGAAGAAACCCUAAAACCCAAUUGGGAGGGACCUUAUCUUGUUCUGCUUACAACAGAAACGGCUGUCCGGACUGCUGAGCGUGGAUGGACUCAUGCCAGUCGCAUUAAAGGCCCAGUGACGAGACCCCACUGGAAAGUAAUCAGUACUCCAGUUAAAGCUGCAAAGUGGGAAGCCUAUGUAAACAGGCAGAAAGCCCGAAGCAGCCGUUCUCCUGAAGAAUUCCCUUGCUGCCGAGAAGAUGGUACACCCCGUGGCUCGAAGCAACCGAGUCGACGGGCAAGGCAGAGGAGGAACAAACUGUGGAGAACAGAACCAGAACAAUGGGACACUAAAGCAACAAUGGCCGAACUUCCCCAGGACUGGUAAAAAUAUACUUAAAUUAGCAAAAUUGACAGACACCCUUUUUCCUGGUAUACCGUUAGUUUUGUUAUUGAUAAUAACCCAAGCAAAUGGAAACCCUCAUGAACCUUUUAAAUGGACCUUAAUCAGGUGGGAAGGACAAGUAACCAUUCAGACUCAAGUUACUCCAGGAGCCCCUAGUUUUCUCUGUGCGCUGUGUGAUCUCAUACCGGUAAAACCCUGCCUGAACAAACAUGGAUUUUAUUUUUGCCCUAGUUCGAACCAUGAGAAAGGAUACUGUAAUUACCCAGGACAUUAUUAUUGUGCCUACUGGGGUUGUGAAACAGUAGCCUCAGACUGGGAGGUUGACUAAGACAAGUAUUUAUGGGUAGGGUGGGGUCCUUUCGGAUGUGACCCACCGAAACAUGGAACAAAUGGAGGUUUUUUGAAUGAGGGUACAUGUGACAAAAUCUACAUUAAUGUGACACACCCAGAAGAUGCAGGUUGGUUGAUAGGAAAAACAUGGGGGGCUAGACUUUGGGAAUCAGGAACCGAUAGGGGAGGACAUUUCCUUAUCAAAAAGGAACCGAUACCUCACGAUCCUUUACCAGUAGGACCAAAUCUGGUCCUGAAUCCACCCACUUCAUCUGAAGAAAAGGUUGCCCC